Molecule: ribosomal RNA, 322 nt
Filed under: uncultured eukaryote
Lineage: Eukaryota
Description: partial 18S ribosomal RNA
Rfam family: Eukaryotic small subunit ribosomal RNA
Source: RNAcentral
CCCUUAGAUGUUCUGGGCCGCACGCGUGCUACACUGAGUGGAUCAGCGGGUCAGGUUGCGCGAAAGUGUUUCCUAAUCUUGAAAUCCGCUCGUGAUGGGGAUUGACGGUUGCAAUUUUCCGUCAUGAACGAGGAAUACCUUGUAAGCGCGGGUCAUCAUCCCGCGCUGAAUACGUCCCUGCCCUUUGUACACACCGCCCGUCGCUCCUACCGAUUGAGUGGUCCGGUGAGGCUUUGGGAUCUGAGCAAAAAGAGCGUUUCGCUCGUAUGGCUCGGAAAACUCAGUCGAACCUUAUCAUUUAGAGGAAGGAGAAGUCGUAACA